AGAAGAGUGCAGUAUGUUUGAUGGUCCUGCUUGAGCCAUUUGCUCCAAUUGGAUCUGGUAAAAGUAGCGUGCUUGGAGACAUAUAAACAUUUUAAAGAGACGGGAGACGUUUGAUUGGACCUGAAUAGAACUGCCAUCUGUAAGAGAUUCUGCACAAGUCCUGUGGGCAAAAGGUUACAGUGAACUGAAAUGUGGAAUGCUGUGACCCUCUGGCAGCAGCGUGAAUCAUGCAUUGAAGAGGAAUCAGAGAUAGGAACACUAGCUAAACACAAGGCAUUUCUUAGAAAAGAAGACAAGGCAAUGAAAUAGAUUCAGUCCCCGAGCAACCUGACUGGUUGAUAUUGAGAGCUAAGGAGGUGAUGGGGAAGAAGGGGAGCACAGGAUGCAUUAAACACAAACUUCUGUUUCAUAGCCCUGCAAGAAGCUAUUUCAACUUAAGACACACUCAAAUUGGAUCCCAUCCAGUGGGAUAGAAGAGGACCAUGGAUGCAGCUGGCAAGAAAGAUGAAGGAGCCAAACAGUAAUCAGGAGAAUACUAUCCUGGGUGCUAAAGAUGCUAUUAAAUGGCUUCAGAGAUCAAGAAAAGAAGUUGGUGUGGAGAUAAAGAAAACGAGCAUUUGAGGCCGGGCCCAGUGGCUCUCACCUGUAAUCCCAGCACUUUGGGAGGCUGAGGCGGGUAGAUCACUAAAUCAGGAGUUCGAGAGCAGCCUGGAUGACCUGGUGAAACCCCGUCUCUACUAAAAGUACAAAAAUUAGGCGGGCAUGGUGGCGCAUGCCUGUAAUCCCAGCUACUAGGGAGGCUGAGGCAGGGGAAUCGCUUGCACCUAGGAGGCGGAGGUUGCAGUGAGCUGAGAUCACUUCACUGCACACCAGCCUGGGUGACAGAGCAAGACUCCAUCUUGCAAAACAAACAAACAAACAACAACAACAACAAAAAAACAAGCAAUUGGUAUGUUGAUUCUGAGAUGCCACAAGUGCACCUAGAAGGCAAUAUGACAGCUGGUUAUACUCUUCUUGAGAUCCUCAAUAUGGGUGGUCUGAGAAGAUUAGCCAGUAGAAGAGAGGAGACAAGAAUCAAGGCUAAUGCACUCUUUCAGAGGCCGAGGAAGGAGAGGACUUCAGAAGGAUGGGGGCGGUGGUCAGGAAGGCCCAAUUAUUUUUUGCAAUUACUAAAAUAGUAACAUAAUUUUGGCAAUUCUUCUAUGUGACUAUGUGGGGUGAACCCCAAUGUGCUAGGAAAACAUCAAAUUUGUUGGAAAUUCUGGUCUCUCUUGAAGUUAACAAUCUUUCUUGACCAUUCUUUGAGAACAGUCCGUAAAAACUAAUUUGCUUUGCAUCUGUAUUCCCCAGUAUUUAACCUAGAUGUUUAUCAUUCAUUCUUUCUGCACUUUUUCAUCCUUUGUAAUUGCAACUAGGGUUCUCUGUCUAAAUUUCCACUUUGACUUCUCUCCACAGUAUUUCUGUUUUACUCCUCACAUUGACUGGGCUGUGUCACCAGCCUCAUAUAAGAACCUCACAGUUAAAAAUGUCCUCUCUGCCUAUCUACUCCUGUACCAUCCUCAUGGACAGGUUUCUACAGGGCACAGGUAUAGACUGUGUAUCAAAGAAGCCGGCUAUACCAGGAAUACAUACAAGCAACUGUUAAAAUCCAAAUAAUUAUUUUGUUACUGAAGUGUUUAAGCAUCAGAGCUUAAAAUGAAGCAUCUUUUGUAGUUUUAAGUUUUUAUAUAUAAAUUAAGUUAUUCUUCCAUUUCACAGUUGGUAACACCUAGAAAACCUGAUUGAAAAAAACACAUUGGGAGAAAGAGGACACAGAUAUCAUCUGGAAAGGAAAAGAUUUGUGUUAACAAAUAUAUAACGUGCUCACAAUGGAAAGCUCCCACUUCUCACUUUCCCUCCUCCUUCCAGCUAACAUGGGUUUGGGUUUGUUUUGUUGUUGUUUUAUAAGCUGUCACAGUGGUAGAUGCAGAUUGAAGCUCCAGGCAAUUGCAAUUAAAUCAGGAAAAAGAUAUGCAUUCACCAAGGUUAACACAAGCUGCAGCUUAAUCAGGAUGAAACAAACAAACACAUCCAAGGACCUCAAAAUAAAUACAGCCAUUUCAAUCACCUUCUUUUAAUAUCCACCUCCCCCCGCCCCCGCAACCCCUGCAAUAACUUAAAAAAACACGCGCAAUGAAAAGCUAAAUAAAUAAGUUCCCAAGUCAAUAUAUAUGUCAUGAAAAUUUUCAAGCUACCAAUGUAACACAUUAUUUCAGUUUAUUGGCUAUUGAUCUCAAAACAAGUCAUUAUAGGAUUAAAGACAAAUUUUGAUACAAUAGAGACUCCUCAUAUAUAAGCCAUAGACACAUGUAUAAACUUAAUAUUGAUUGACUUUACAGAUAAAUAUUCAUAAUGAGCUCAUUGUUUUAAUUUGUGUUUGAAUACGUGUUUCCUUUUAAAUUUGGUUUGAGGAUAUAAAUUUUGGUAAAUGGCUUAUCAGCAUUACAUCUAAAUAGAUGUGCAUACAAAUACACUGAGGAUGGUGGUUCGAGUGUAGUAGGCCAUAUGAACUUCAUAUGAUUGGUUUUUUGUGAUGGCAUUACAUUUAUCAUCAUCUCUUGUCAUUAUUAUUUUUUAAAUGAUCUAUUUAAUUUGGAUACUUUCAGUCUCUAUAGGUAACUCUCCAUGUUGCUGCCAGACCUAUUACGUUAAAAAAAAACUUCUAUUUUUCUCAAAAUGUUGUAUGGCUCUCUGUUUCCUACAGAUACAAAUUCUAAACUCUUUAGCUUAAUUUCUAAAGUUACCUAUUUUUCCCUAUGCCCUUGUUUUUUUCUGAUUAAAUUACUUUAUAGGAAUGUAUUUAUACAAAGCUUAGACCUAACAGUCCUGAUUAACUCAUCUUUAACCAAGCUUCUGAGCCUUUGUUGGUGCUGCUCCUACAGCUUGGGACAGUAUUUUCACUGCCCCCAAAAUUAUCAGUCUCCUAGUAUUUCUUAAAGACUGAAGCCCGGGUGUGUGAUGUUCCCCUCCCUGUGUCCAUGUGUUCUUAUUGUUCACUCCCACUUAUGAGUGAGAACAUGCGGUGUUUGGUUUUCUGUUCCUGUGUUAAUUUGCUGAGAAUGAUGGUUUCCAGCUUCAUCUAUGUCCCUGCAAAGGACAUGAACUCAUCCUUUUUUUAGACUGAAGGCAUCCUUCUGUGAUGCCUUGUCUAACGCUCCCAGUUAGACUCACUCGUUCCUUUGCACUGCCAGCAGUACUUUGCUUAUACUUUUUGAAAUAGCGUGUGUUUUAUUCUCCUGCCUUGAUUUUAGUCAUUAACACAUGCAUCUCUUGAUAGAAAUUUUUAUCAUCUUAAGGUAAGGGGCCACAUCCAAUUUAAUUCUAUAUGUCACUCCCAUAUUAUCUAGAUUACUAUUGGUACCUGGUAGGUUUAGACUUAUUAAUUUAUAUUUUAAUCCACAAAUCUAGCCAUCUAUUUAUUCAAUAAUUUAUCACCUCUUGCAUAAAUAUUGAGCUCUUUAUAUGAUACUCAAUGGUAACAAAGAUACAGUGAAUGAACCAUAACAAAGACACAGUGAAUGAACAGACAGUAGUACCUAUCCUGGCUUCACUGACAUUCUUGUCUGAAAGACAAGCUUUAACAAGUAGUUGCAAGGAAGUGUGCAAUGAGUGUUUGGUCUAGUUUGAACACUAGGAAAAGAAGAAUGCCACAGUCUAGGUACCAUUAAAGUCCACCUUGAGAAAGUGCUCUUUAAUUUGAAGUUUGAGUGAUUAGAAAAUGUUCACCAAUUUAAGAAGGGGAAGAAGGCAGAACAGAGUGUUUCACUCUAAAGAAGAAAAAGAAUGUGAAAAUCUGUAAAGAUAAAAGAGAUUUCUUUAGUUAUUUUCUAAAAGAGAAAGUGAGAGAAGAGAAUGAAGGAGAGUGACAGAAAGAUACUAAAAUAAGAGUUUUAUGGAACAAGACCUCAAAAGGAUGUAGAAAAGCCAUAUAAAUUUAUAAUCUUGAGUAAUAGCAAAAUAAGUAAGACAAUUUUGAAAAUAUUAUAUUAUAUUCUGACUUCUCCAGAAGAGAACUUAAGGAUGCUGUUAAACAAUGGUCAAAUUAUAAGUGAAUAGGGAAGGUAGGAAUUGAUUCUAGCAUCUACAGAUAAGACCAAAUAUAUUUGUUAUCACCAAACAAUGGUAUGACUAUGUACUUAAUUGGCUAUCUGUAGUCAACUCUGAAAAUCUAUCCCAUAUCUAAUUCCUCAUUUCAACUAUAAGACCCCAAACCUAGUUGGUAUACAAUAAAUCAUUGUUGAGUGAUAGAAAAUAUAUAAAACAUUGCAUAUCUUCCCAGAUGUGUACAAAUUGUUACAUUGCCCACGUUAUAGAAAUAUAUGACAGCUUUCACUUACAUUUCUCACAUCUCUCAGAUGCAUAUUUUUUGCUUUAUUGGCUUUAAACUCAUAUUAAUACCAUAAAAUCAGCCCUGGGGGCACUGUUAGGCUAUAAGCAUUUCUCUGAUUCAAAUGUUAUAUAUCCAUACUCCUACAUCAUUACUUCCCAGUGUCUGUUAUUUUCAGAAUUUUCUGAAGGCAAGAUUCUUGCCCUCCUUCUCUGUCAUUUAGACUUAAUUUAUUCUCUUAAAAAUUGCAUUCAAGUCAGAACCAGUUAUUACUAAAUGGUACGGUUUGUUCCUUUUCUAAUGUUUUUCCUUUGUUUUGUUUCUUUUCUACACUUCUUUUUAGAAGGAGCUCCAAAGAUCUGCCACUUCAUUUUCCUCUCUCACUCUUAAAUCCUUUCUGCAGUAAUGGCAACUAGUGGUCCUUUUGUUCUGUUUAAGCAAUUUAUGGAACAGCUUGUCCCCAACAUCCCAAUAAUUUUGUACAUGAUUAACUGUCAAAAUAGUCUUUAUUUUAAUGAACUAAACUUAGCCUCUUUGUCACCUUUGUAAAAAAAAUUCUACAUUAUGCUUUCUAGAGACAUUAAGAAAAAAUUAAAUAACAUGACUCUCUUUCUUGCAUGGUAGAAUUCCACUAUUUUAAGACAAUGUUUACAGCAUACUUUUUUCUUUCUAAACACAAUAUGGUCCAGAUGACAGGUAUGUGUUCCUGAUCUCUUGAGAGUUACAUAUCCCUAUUUCAACCCCUGUCCUCUGUUCCAUGGAAGUUUAAAUCAACCACCAAUAUUUCUGGAAUUUAAUGGGUUAACUGCAUUCUCAAGGCUAUCUAUGUUUACGGUUUGUAUUUCUAUAUACAGUCAUUCUUAUCCCAACCUAAUUAGUCAGGAUAGGGAAUUUCUCAAUUUCUUGAUUCCAUUUAACACAAAUGAUUUGCAGAAUAUUGAAGAUUCUGGGAAUACAGUAGUGUAGAGGAAUGGUUUAUUUCUAUUUUCCAAUAAUGUAUACCCUUGAAACAGAACACUUAACAUUCCCGUUCUUAUACUGCCUUUUACUGUCUUAUACUCUCUUUUUCACUGAUUAACUUUAUUCUAUGCCAUUCCCAGUCUCUUUGUCUUCUCAUUGGCUUACCUUCUCACUACACUACCUUCUCUGUCUUUUCCCUUCUCAUUGAAAUUGUGGAUAGAUUCUCUCUCCCCGCUCUCUCUGUAACUCUCUCCCUCUGCUUUACCCUUUCCUUUCUUCCUCUCUUUCUUCUCCUAUCUCUUCAACCUCUUCACCAUCUCUCUCUUACCUCACUGUUAGUUCUAGUUUAUAAAUUCAGAAAAUGAGUCUCAGAGAAGUUAAGUGACUCGUGCAAGUUCACCUGGUUAGCAAGAUUAAGAUUCAUACUCUGCUCUGUCAGCCAUCUAUUUUUGUUUAGUUUGACCUUCUUAAAAUUAAUGUUGUUAAAUCUGACCUAUGAUGACGCCUUGUUAGACAGUAAAAGCUUAUUGAAUUACAUAUUUUAUGCUUUUUGGAAAUGUGACCAAUGUGUAAUGGAUACUGUUAACAACAAAUUGAAUAAAAGGUACACCCUUAAUACCAGAGUGAAUUAGGGCAAGCUACAAACGAUGUGAUAUAUUACUGGAGUCAUUGUUAUUGAAUUAAAGCUUCCUAGUAUUUGAUAUAUGGAUUAAUAAUCAAACAUAUAUGUAUUUUAAUAUGGUCCAUCUCUGAAUGAUGAAACAUGAAAAGAAAACAUUGCAUCCAUCAUUGUUGCAUUAUUUUUAAUUUUGAAAGUAGCUAAUGUAUUUAUCUAGAAAUAAAAUCAUAUUAACCCAUACAAGCUUAUACAUAGCAUAAAGCAUUAUAUAAUACACAUUAAAUGCAUAGAUAUUUUUACAUGUGUCAAGAUUGAAAGUGGAGUGUGGGGUGUAGUAAUCCCAGAAAUAAGGAAGCUAUGAGUGGGGGAAUCAUAAAAAUAUGAAAAGAAACUCCUUCCAAAUGAUUGAAUGAUUCCUAAAGUGUGCAUAUGCAGAGUAAAAUUUCAAACAAAAGCAAUAGCUAUAAUUGAACAGUUUCAGCAAUUGCCUUUUAAAUUUAUGCUUUUAAAUUUUAUACUUUUAAAUUUUGAUGUAACUGGAAGCUUACAGGAAAACUGUAAAUGCUGUAUCCAGAUUCACCAAGUGCUUUUAUUGCUCUGUGUAUGAAUAUAUAUGUAAAAUAAAUGUUACACAUAUAAAA
Homo sapiens (human) is the source of this 6586-nucleotide long non-coding RNA. Ensembl annotates it as long intergenic non-protein coding RNA 2141. The record is from Ensembl. Lineage: Eukaryota; Metazoa; Chordata; Mammalia; Primates; Hominidae.